This 257-nucleotide long non-coding RNA is filed under the name Manihot esculenta (cassava). RNAcentral's name for it is "long non-coding RNA (MESC_LNC012800)". The record is from RNAcentral. Lineage: Eukaryota; Viridiplantae; Streptophyta; Magnoliopsida; Malpighiales; Euphorbiaceae.
AGAGGUUGGGGUUGAUGAUCUCUGAAUUAGAGUGUCCUCUCUGGGUCAGUGGACCCAAGUGUGAUUCAUCAGUGGCAGAGUCAGUCUGCCAGUGUAGUCCUGUGUUUGUUGAGGGAAGAUGCUUGUCCGCUGACCUUGUGGUUCUAGACUUGACAGAUUUUGACGUCAUUCUAGGGAUGGACUGGUUAUCUACCCAUGCUGCUACCUUGGACUGCAGGGACAAGGUAGUCAGGUUCAGAGGUCAGGAUGGGUCUGAG